This 638-nucleotide ribosomal RNA is filed under the name uncultured bacterium. RNAcentral describes it as "bacterial SSU rRNA". It matches the Rfam family "Bacterial small subunit ribosomal RNA", at positions 92 to 728 of the family's 1533-position model. The record is from RNAcentral.
CGACCGGCGCACGGGUGAGUAACGCGUAUCCAACCUUCCGUACACUCAGGGAUAGCCUUUCGAAAGAAAGAUUAAUACCUGAUGGUAUGAUGAGAUUGCAUGAUAGCAUCAUUAAAGAUUUAUCGGUGUACGAUGGGGAUGCGUUCCAUUAGGUAGUAGGCGGGGUAACGGCCCACCUAGCCAACGAUGGAUAGGGGUUCUGAGAGGAAGGUCCCCCACAUUGGAACUGAGACACGGUCCAAACUCCUACGGGAGGCAGCAGUGAGGAAUAUUGGUCAAUGGACGAGAGUCUGAACCAGCCAAGUAGCGUGAAGGAUGAAGGUCCUACGGAUUGUAAACUUCUUUUAUAAGGGAAUAAACCCUCCCACGUGUGGGAGCUUGUAUGUACCUUAUGAAUAAGCAUCGGCUAACUCCGUGCCAGCAGCCGCGGUAAUACGGAGGGUGCGAGCGUUAUCCGGAUUUAUUGGGUUUAAAGGGUGCGCAGACGGGUCGUUAAGUCAGCUGUGAAAGUUUGGGGCUCAACCUUAAAAUUGCAGUUGAUACUGGCGUCCUUGAGUGCGGUUGAGGUGUGCGGAAUUCGUGGUGUAGCGGUGAAAUGCUUAGAUAUCACGAAGAACUCCGAUUGCGAAGGCAGCACA